Molecule: ribosomal RNA, 250 nt
Filed under: uncultured bacterium
Lineage: Bacteria
Description: partial 16S ribosomal RNA
Rfam family: Bacterial small subunit ribosomal RNA
Source: RNAcentral
UACAGAGGGUGCGAACGUUGCUCGGAAUUACUGGGCGUAAAGCGCGUGUAGGCGGACGGGUAAGUCAGAUGUGAAAUCCCCGAGCUCAACUCGGGAACUGCAUUUGAAACUGCUUGUCUGGAGUACCGGAGAGGGUGGCGGAAUUCCUGGUGUAGAGGUGAAAUUCGUAGAUAUCAGGAGGAACACCGGUGGCGAAGGCGGCCACCUGGACGGUUACUGACGCUGAGACGCGAAAGCGUGGGGAGCAAAC